Molecule: long non-coding RNA, 729 nt
Organism: Betta splendens (Siamese fighting fish)
Lineage: Eukaryota; Metazoa; Chordata; Actinopteri; Anabantiformes; Osphronemidae
Exons: 3
Source: RefSeq, a predicted model, not a curated record
UAUGACAAUCGCCAAUUGUGUGAACAGCACCUAAAGCUGCAGCUGACAGGCUGUGGGACGCUGCGUGGCGUGGGCUGCCAGCAGAGGGGGUCGUGGACCCACAGCAGCUGCAGAGAAGGCGAGACCGGUGUGUCACAGAACCGCCGUCAGGGAGUCGCAGCAGUGUGAAGCUAAUGCAGCUGGAUCUUGCCUAAUGACGCUGCGUUGUGGACGCCAACGUUUAGAAGGACGCAAUACGUUGCCGUGGAAACGGGCUCAUGUGGUCCUCAGACGUUCCCCAGGGGAGAAGUCCAGCUAAUGUGCCAGCCAAUAGGAGGCACAUCUGAGGAAUAAUGCUGUUAUUAUGUUAAUGAUCCUAAACAGCCUGCUUCAAAGGAGGUGGGUGUGGUGCGACAACCAGACCCUGGUGUAAACAACCCUCAUAUACAAUGUCACACACAAAGUACAGGGUUUUAUACUGGUUAUGGUUUGUCUGAAUUCAUCUAUCUCCAUGUUAAAUCCAUUUGAACCAGGUCAUAUACAACGAUGACAAUUUGAAUUCAACAUCAUAAACACCUUGUCUUUAUUGUGAACAUAAUUCUCAGAGGUCAGAUUAAUAAUUAGAUACUCAUGCACUUUGGCCUGAAUCAAUCAUUAUAUUAUAUUAUUAUGCACCUGGGCUUCUUUAAACAUGUUCACAUCUGUAAUGUUAUUAUUUAAGCUCAGAAUGUAAAUGCCAGUGCAUACUCU